UGGUGGGAACUAUAAGGAGACUGUCGGCGAUAAACCGGAGGAAGGCGGGGACUACGUCAAGUCUUCAUGGCCCUUACGACCAGGGCUACACACGUGCUACAAUGGGAAGGACAAAGAGCCGCGAAGCCGCGAGGUGUAGCUAAUCUCAUAAAUCUUUUCGUAGUCCGGAUUGGGGUCUGCAACUCGACUCCAUGAAGUCGGAAUCGCUAGUAAUCGUAGAUCAGAAUGCUACGGUGAAUACGUUCCCGGGUCUUGUACACACCGCCCGUCAUACCAUGGGAGUGGGUUGCACCAGAAGUGGCUAUGUCUAACUUUGUGAGGACGGUCACCACGGUGUGAUUCAUGACUGGGGUAAAGUCGUAACAAGGU
RNAcentral lists this ribosomal RNA (369 nucleotides) under uncultured marine gamma proteobacterium DHB-9. RNAcentral's name for it is "bacterial SSU rRNA". It matches the Rfam family "Bacterial small subunit ribosomal RNA", at positions 1129 to 1497 of the family's 1533-position model. The record is from RNAcentral. Lineage: Bacteria; Pseudomonadati; Pseudomonadota; Gammaproteobacteria.